Molecule: ribosomal RNA, 253 nt
Filed under: uncultured bacterium
Lineage: Bacteria
Description: partial 16S ribosomal RNA
Rfam family: Bacterial small subunit ribosomal RNA
Source: RNAcentral
UACGUAGGGGGCAAGCGUUGUCCGGAUUUAUUGGGCGUAAAGAGCGUGUAGGCGGCUUGGUAGGUCCGCUGUGAAAACUCGAGGCUCAACCUCGAGAUGUCGGCGGAAACCCCCUGGCUAGAGUCCGGAAGAGGAGAGUGGAAUUCCCGGUGUAGCGGUGAAAUGCGCAGAUAUCGGGAAGAACACCUAUGGCGAAGGCAGCUCUCUGGGACGGUACUGACGCUGAGACGCGAAAGCGUGGGGAGCGAACAGG